Molecule: long non-coding RNA, 506 nt
Filed under: Vigna radiata
Lineage: Eukaryota; Viridiplantae; Streptophyta; Magnoliopsida; Fabales; Fabaceae
Description: long non-coding RNA (VRAD_LNC008499)
Source: RNAcentral
GACGUAUGGUAAUGUCAUGAACUGGUGGGAAAUUCCUUGAUUAUGCUAAUACCGCCUAGGGAUAGGGUUGGACGAUCAUUGUAUUUUGCUUCUGUUCGCAUUGCGUUAUUGGUUACUAGGGGAGGGUAGGGAUAACAAGCCGGUAAUUAAUAAGAGGCUCUUUUCACCAAGGGAUUGGGUUAAGGGUAGGCUAGAAAGUUUGCAUGGCAAUGAGAUAAAUAAGUGAAGUAAAUAAGAAGAGUAAAUAUAUUAGAGCGAAUAAGAUGAAAUUGUAAACCCCAACAACACCACUCAUCCAUAGUUUCUCAAAACCAAUUGAAUCAACUGGAUUUGCAUGUUUAUUUUUGUUCUUUGCAUACAACCACCAAUUUAAUUCUUUUCUCAAGUCUUACACGAUUUGUUUACAUGAAAAGUAAGGCCUAAGAGUCCUUUGGGAAGAACGAUAUUGGGUUUACCAAUUAUAUUACUUGAUAACGAUCUGGUACACUUGCCAGGGGCUUAACAUC